This 22-nucleotide microRNA is filed under the name human gammaherpesvirus 4 (Epstein-Barr virus). RNAcentral describes it as "ebv-miR-BART18-5p". Its record names the gene ebv-miR-BART18-5p. Lineage: Duplodnaviria; Heunggongvirae; Peploviricota; Herviviricetes; Herpesvirales; Orthoherpesviridae. The record is from miRBase by way of RNAcentral.
UCAAGUUCGCACUUCCUAUACA